This is an RNA transcript of Propithecus coquereli (Coquerel's sifaka), 2073 nucleotides long. It is a transcript of the gene named pre-rRNA processing protein FTSJ3 pseudogene, with no coding region annotated. Lineage: Eukaryota; Metazoa; Chordata; Mammalia; Primates; Indriidae. The transcript has 2 exons. The record is from RefSeq and is a predicted model, not a curated record.
AUGGCCUCAAACCAUGCAGCUUCUUUUGGCUGCUCCCAUCUUCCUGGGACACCAACCGCAUGGGUGGUCAAGCUCAAUGCUGGCCAGCAGCGGCAUGGUGGACUACAAGUGGAUGCUCAGAGAGCUGAAAUUGGUGAAGCGGAGGCCCUGCCAGUUAUAGGUGGCCAGGUCCAGCAGGAAGUCACGGUAACUGGAAACUGGAACCUGCAAGAAGCAAAGGCAGUCAAAAUUGUUAAUAUCUUACAUGAUAACUUUGGAGGCUCUGCUGAGGGUGACCUCACUCUGUAUCACUGAACCUCAGUCACUGACUUCCUUCCUUCCUUGGAGAUGAAGUCAACCCUGUUGACUUCAUCUCCAAGGCCAGCAAAAUCUUGCUAGAUGAUGAAGCGUUGGCCCAGCAUCCAGCCACCACUGAGGACAUACGGGCAUGUUGUCAGGACAUCAAAGUGCUGGGGCAAAAGGAGCUCAAGUCCCUACUGAACUGGAGAACAAAGCUUCGGCGACAUUUGGCCAAGAAGCUGAAAGAGCAAGCGAAAGCACUGGACAUCAGCCUCAGCUCAGGAGAGGAAGAAGGUGAUGAGGAAGAGUCAACAGCUGGACCACAAGGCAACCCUCUAAGGAGGAGGAGGAGGAGGAACAACUGAAUAAGACCCUGGCAGAGAUGAAGGCCCAGGAGGUGGCGGAAUUAAAGAGGAAGAAAAAGAAGCUGGUGUGUGAGCAGAGAAAGCAGCAGGAGCAUGUGAAGCUGAAGAUGGAUCUGCCAGGGGUUUCCAUCGCAGAUGAGGGGGAGACUGACAUGUUCUUCCUGCGCACCAUCCAGGGUCACCAGUUGUUAGAGGAAGCAACAAAAGGGGAUAUGAGUACUGCAGACACACUUCUGUCCGAUCUGCAAGAGAUGACAUCUAUGUAUCAGAUUUUGAGGAGGAGGAUGAUGAUGCAUCUCUAGAGAGUGACCUGGAUCCAGAAGAGCUGGCAGGAGUUGGGGGACAUCAGGAUCUAAAGGACCAGAAAUAAGUGCGAUACACUGAAGUAGAAGAUAAAGAGGAAGAGGAAGAAGAGAAUCCAUUGCUGGUACCACUGGAGGAAAAGGCAGUGCUGCAGGAGGAACAGGCCACCCUGUGGUUCUCAAAGGAUGGCUUCAGUGGGAUUGAGGAUGAUGCUGAUGAGGCCCUGGAGAUCAGUCAGGCCCAGAUGUUAUAUGAGAGUGGUCGGAAGGGACAGCAGCAGCAGCUGCCACUGCCACUGCCACCACCACCACCUUCCAGUUUGAAGACUGAGAAAAAUCUCCCCAGUGCCAGGAUGAAGCCCCUAAGGGGCAGAGGCUUCUUCAGGGAGAGAAGCUGCCCCUGGCCCUGAAGAGGAAGAAAGAGAUGGCGGCUCAAACCGUGAUAGCAGCAGCAGUGAGGAGGAAGAGAACGGGGAAGCACCCCGUGGUAAGAAGCUCAGACGUGGGCCUACGUCAGAUGACGAUGGGUUUGAGAUAGUGCCUAUUGAGGACCCAGUGAAACAUCGAAUACUGGAUGCUGAUGGCCUUGCUCUAGGUGCCGUUAUUGCCUCUUCCAAAAAGGCCAAGAGAGACCUCACAGAUAACUCCUUCAACAGGUAUACGUUUCAUGAGGAAGAGGGAGAGCUUACAGAGUGGUUUGUGCAGGAGGAAAAGCAGCACCGGAUAUGGCAGUUGCCUAUUGACAAGAAAGAGGUAGAGCAUUACUGGAAGUGCUGGAGGAAAUCAACACUCGUCCCAUCAAGAAAGUGGCUGAGGCCAAGGCCAGAAAGAAAAGAAGGAUGCCGGAAAAGCUGGAACAGACUAGGAAGAAGGCAGAAGCUGUGGAGAACACAGGGGACAUCUCAGAACGUGAGAAAGUGGCAUAGCUGCGAAGUCUCUACAAGAAGGCUGGGCUUGGCAAGGAGAAGCACCAAGUCACCUAUGUUGUAGCCAAAAAAGGUGUGGGCCGCAAAGUGCGCCGGCCAGCUGGAGUCAGAGGCCAUUUUAAGGUGGUGGACUCAAGGAUGAAGAAGGACCAAAGAGCACAGCAGCGCAAGGAGCAAAAGAAAAAACACAAGUGGAAGUGA